This 265-nucleotide ribosomal RNA is filed under the name uncultured archaeon. RNAcentral's name for it is "partial 16S ribosomal RNA". It matches the Rfam family "Archaeal small subunit ribosomal RNA", at positions 715 to 982 of the family's 1478-position model. The record is from RNAcentral.
AGUCACUGACAUUAGAUACCCCUGGUAGUCCAGGGUGUAAACGCUGCAGACUUGGUGUUGGAGGCCCUUUGGGGGCAUUCAGUGCCGGAGAGAAGUUGUUAAGUCUGCUACUUGGGGAGUACGUCCGCAAGGAUGAAACUUAAAGGAAUUGGCGGGGGAGCACCGCAACGGGAGGAGCGUGCGGUUUAAUUGGAUUCAACACCGUAAACUCACCAGGGAAGACUGUUACAUGAAGGCCGAGAUGAAGACUCUGCUAGAUUUUCAG